This 801-nucleotide ribosomal RNA is filed under the name uncultured bacterium. Its description in RNAcentral is "bacterial SSU rRNA". It matches the Rfam family "Bacterial small subunit ribosomal RNA", at positions 692 to 1504 of the family's 1533-position model. The record is from RNAcentral.
AGAUAUGCUACAGAACACCGAUAGCGAAGGCAGCUUACUAAACUGAAACUGACGCUCAUGCACGAAAGCGUGGGGAGCAAACAGGAUUAGAUACCCUGGUAGUCCACGCCCUAAACGAUGAUCACUCGUUGUUGGCAAUUAUAUCGUCAGCGACUAAGCGAAAGCAUUAAGUGAUCCACCUGGGGAGUACGAUCGCAAGGUUGGAACUCAAAGGAAUUGACGGGGGCCCGCACAAGCGGAGGAGCAUGUGGUUUAAUUCGAUGAUACGCGAGGAACCUUACCUGGGUUAGAACGCAGAACGACGUUUCGGGAAACCGGAAUUCUCUUCGGAGCGAUCUGCGAGGUGCUGCAUGGUUGUCGUCAGCUCGUGCCGUGAGGUGUCGGGUUAAGUCCCAUAACGAGCGCAACCCCUAUUCUUAGUUGCCAUCAGGUAAUGCUGGGGACUCUAAGAAAACUGCCUACGCAAGUAGUGAGGAAGGCGGGGAUGACGUCAAAUCAGCACGGCCCUUAUGUCCAGGGCUACACACGUGCUACAAUGGCCGGUACAGAGGGCAGCCACCUGGUGACAGGGAGCAAAUCUCCAAAGCCGGUCUCAGUUCGGAUCGAAGUCUGCAACUCGACUUCGUGAAGUUGGAUUCGCUAGUAAUCGUAUAUCAGCAACGAUACGGUGAAUACGUUCCCGGGCCUUGUACACACCGCCCGUCAAGCCAUGGAAGCUGGGGGUGCCUGAAGUCCGUGACCGAAAGGAGCGGCCUAGGGUAAAAUCAGUGACUGGGGCUAAGUCGUAACAAGGUAACCGUA